Molecule: ribosomal RNA, 253 nt
Filed under: uncultured bacterium
Lineage: Bacteria
Description: partial 16S ribosomal RNA
Rfam family: Bacterial small subunit ribosomal RNA
Source: RNAcentral
UACGUAGGGCGCAAGCGUUAUCCGGAAUUAUUGGGCGUAAAGAGCGUGUAGGCGGCCUGACAGGUCUGCUGUGAAAACUCGAGGCUCAACCUCGAGAUGUCGGCGGAAACCGUCUGGCUAGAGUCCGGAAGAGGAGAGUGGAAUUCCUGGUGUAGCGGUGAAAUGCGCAGAUAUCAGGAAGAACACCCGUGGCGAAAGCGGCUCUCUGGAACGGUACUGACGCUGAGACGCGAAAGCGUGGGGAGCGAACAGG